Molecule: ribosomal RNA, 253 nt
Filed under: uncultured bacterium
Lineage: Bacteria
Description: partial 16S ribosomal RNA
Rfam family: Bacterial small subunit ribosomal RNA
Source: RNAcentral
UACGUAGGGUGCGAGCGUUAAUCGGAAUUACUGGGCGUAAAGCGUGCGCAGGCGGUUCGUUGUGUCCGUCGUGAAGGCCCCGGGCUUAACCUGGGAACUGCGAUGGAAACUAGCGAGCUGGAGUGUGGCAGAGGGGGGUGGAAUUCCGCGUGUAGCAGUGAAAUGCGUAGAGAUGCGGAGGAACACCGAUGGCGAAGGCAGCCCCCUGGGCUAACACUGACGCUCAGGCACGAAAGCGUGGGGAGCAAACAGG